CUGGCUCAGGAUGAACGCUGGCGGCGUGCCUAAUACAUGCAAGUCGAACGCGGGCACUUGUGCCCGAGUGGCGAACGGGUGAGUAAUACAUAAGUAACCUGGCCUUUACAGGGGGAUAACUGCUGGAAACGGCAGCUAAGACCGCAUAGGUAGGGACACUGCAUGGUGACCGUAUUAAAAGUGCUGCAAGGCACUGGUAGAGGAUGGACUUAUGGCGCAUUAGCUGGUUGGUGAGGUAACGGCUCACCAAGGCGACGAUGCGUAGCCGACCUGAGAGGGUGACCGGCCACACUGGGACUGAGACACGGCCCAGACUCCUACGGGAGGCAGCAGUAGGGAAUUUUCGGCAAUGGGGGGAACCCUGACCGAGCAACGCCGCGUGAAGGAAGAAGGAAUUCGUUCUGUAAACUUCUGUUAUAAAGGAAGAAAGACGGAUGGAGGAAAUGACAUCCGAGUGACGGUACCUUAUGAGAAAGCCACGGCUAACUACGUGCCAGCAGCCGCGGUAAUACGUAGGUGGCAAGCGUUAUCCGGAAUUAUUGGGCGUAAAGAGGGAGCAGGCGGCAGCAAAGGUCUGUGGUGAAAGACUGAAGCUUAACUUCAGUAAGCCAUAGAAACCGGGCAGCUAGAGUGCAGGAGAGGAUCGUGGAAUUCCAUGUGUAGCGGUGAAAUGCGUAGAUAUAUGGAGGAACACCAGUGGCGAAGGCGACGAUCUGGCCUGCAACUGACGCUCAGUCCCGAAAGCGUGGGGAGCAAAUAGGAUUAGAUACCCUAGUAGUCCACGCCGUAAACGAUGAGUACUAAGUGUUGGAAGUCAAAUUUCAGUGCUGCAGUUAACGCAGUAAGUACUCCGCCUGAGUAGUACGUUCGCAAGAAUGAAACUCAAAGGAAUUGACGGGGGCCCGCACAAGCGGUGGAGCAUGUGGUUUAAUUCGAAGCAACGCGAAGAACCUUACCAGGUCUUGACAUACUCAUAAAGGAUCCAGAGAUGGAUAGAUAGUUAUAUGAGAUACAGGUGGUGCAUGGUUGUCGUCAGCUCGUGUCGUGAGAUGUUGGGUUAAGUCCCGCAACGAGCGCAACCCUUGUCGUUAGUUACCCUCAUUAAGUUGGGGACUCUAGCGAGACUGCCAGUGACAAGCUGGAGGAAGGCGGGGAUGACGUCAAAUCAUCAUGCCCCUUAUGACCUGGGCUACACACGUGCUACAAUGGAUGGUGCAGAGGGAAGCGAAGCCGCGAGGCGAAGCAAAACCCAUAAAACCAUUCUCAGUUCGGAUUGUAGUCUGCAACUCGACUACAUGAAGUUGGAAUCGCUAGUAAUCGCGAAUCAGCAUGUCGCGGUGAAUACGUUCUCGGGCCUUGCACACACCGCCCGUCA
This 1375-nucleotide ribosomal RNA is filed under the name uncultured bacterium. RNAcentral describes it as "16S ribosomal RNA". It matches the Rfam family "Bacterial small subunit ribosomal RNA". The record is from RNAcentral.